AUACUUACCUGGCAGGAGAGAUACCAGGAUCACAAAGGUGGUUUUUCCAGUGCAAGGCUCACCCAUUGCAGUUCAGGUGUGCUGACCCCUGCUGAAAUCCCAAAUGUGGGAAAUUCAACUGCAUAAUUUGUGCUUGUGGGGGACUGUGUUCACUCUCGCCAC
Small nuclear RNA from Suncus etruscus (white-toothed pygmy shrew), 162 nucleotides. RefSeq annotates it as U1 spliceosomal RNA. The transcript has a single exon. NCBI's taxonomy places the organism in Eukaryota, Metazoa, Chordata, Mammalia, Eulipotyphla, Soricidae. The record is from RefSeq and is a predicted model, not a curated record.